GGAAGGAUGCUCCAGGCCAGGAGGAACAGGAAGUUUCAACUGGCUGGACCAAACAUUCCCUUGCAUGUCCACUCUAGCAUUACAAGGAAUGUUGUACAUCCCACAAGACCUUUAAGGGCUAUUUUUCUCAUGGGAGCAAAAGAAGGUUGCUUGUUUAUUUUGUGGCAGAAUUGGAAUAAGAGGCAUCCCCUCCUGAGAGGAGGAUGUCUCUGUGAAGGGCAGUGGCCCCUCCUCAGGGGCUGCCGUUGGCAUUUGGGGCAGGUGGGGAGAAGCCCCCUUCCUCUCCCAGUCUUAUGCGGGCAACUGGGAACCUGAGACUGGGAGCCGCCCUUGGCUAAGAAACCUGCCAAAGUUCAGACAAAGAGGUCCAGGGGCUCUCGUUUUAGGGAAGCUUGCCUUUGUUGUCUAAAAAGGGGGGGGGAGUCACAAUUUUUCUUCCCCCAGUGUUUCUGGAAGAGUCAAUGCUAUAGGAACAGUGAUUCUCAAGGUUUCCCACCAGCUAUUCUCUUUUUAAAUAUAAUUUUGUAUCAUUCACUAUUAAAUGUUGAUAGUUUUGUUUUAUAUGUACCGAUUUUAGGGAGCCUGGCAAAGGGGCGAACAAAACCUUUUGCUGCAAUGUCAUCCUGGUGGGGGAUUUGUGGGAGCAGUCAAUGACAGAAGGAAAAUGAAUGAAAAAUGGAAUUAAUUUUUAAAGAAAUUUAAGCAGGGCGACCUUUUGCCCAUCAUAUUAUGAAACCUGCUGGAGUGCCGUGUACAAUAAUAUGUAUUUUUUGAAAGGAAAGAUUUUGUGGAGGGCAGAACACCAAGGUGGAUUGUAGGGACCAACCAGCAGCAACAUUUGGAAUUUGCACCAGCUGCCAUUCUGCUAUCGGGCCAAGUUCAAGGCCUUGGUACUUACACAUAUGGUCCCUAUACAGCUUGGGACCAGGUUCCUUGCAAGAGAGACCAUCUUAUCCCUUUGCUGCCCACAGGGCUGGAUUUAGGUUUGAUGAGGCCCUAAGUUCCAGAAGGGAAUGGGGCCCUUUAUAUGCCCAGCUGUCCUUUGUCAACAACAAAUUGUCCAUUCACAUCAAAAUAAUUUUGAAUUACCAAUAUACAUAAAAUUGAUUAAUUUUAAUAGCUCCAUACACAACACAAAACACUGUUGCUGUAUGUAGGUUUUAUUUUAUUUGUUUUUUAUCUUAUAUUUUGGAAAUGUACAUCCAGGUUGUUUUUUUCCUUUUUUUUUCGGGGGCCCAAGCUAUGUAAAUCUGGCACUGGCUGCCCAGUAGGUGGCUGCAGCUGGCAGGAGGUUUCUCCUGCAAGUUAAAAAAACUCUCCCCUGCCUCUCUCUCUGCCCCUUCUCUCACUCCCAAACUCACAAUGCCUACGACGACAAUGGCUCUCACCAAAAGCAGCUGACCUGUCAAGAAGAGGGCUUUGAGUGUGGCUGCCCUUCUUCUGUGGAGCAGCAUCCCUGUUGAGAUAUGACAGGCAGCCAUGAUCUGCACUUUCUGGAAGCAGCUGAAGACAUUUUUGUUCUGACGGGCUUUCCCAGCUGACUUAGUGGGUCUUUGCUAUGAAAGUUUAUUUUGUAUGCUUUUCAUUUUGUUUUAAAUGUAUCUGCUAGCUGGGGUUUUGUUUGCCCCCUCCCAAACUGUUUUCUUGCAUGUGACCUUGAGGCGCAGAAUGCCCACUGGUUCUCCCUCCCUUUCCUUCCUGCAGGCAUCUUCCAGUGCGGUCCAGCUUCGCUGACGGCCAUCAAGGAAGGAGACGUCGACCUGAACUACGAUUGCCCGUUCGUCUAUGCAGAGGUCAAUGCCGACCGCGUCACCUGGACGUAUGACACGAACACGGGAAAGAAAACAAAGGUCUACUCUAAGACCAAGAAGAUUGGCCAGAACAUAAGCACCAAGGCCGUGGGCAGCAAUGCCCGCCAGGAUGUCACCAACAAUUAUAAAUACCCAGAAGGUAAGGCAUGCAAAUUGAGACAGAAACUGGAAAUGUUGAGGGAUCUGGAUUAUUGCCAAGGAAAUGAGCACUUACCCAAGUUGUGAGGACAAGACUGGCCCAUCAGGAGAGCAAAGCAGAGGGAGGCUCACAUGGGUGGAGCCAGUAUUUUUGUUGGGGGCAGAACCUCAGUUAAAUAUUUUUAUGGAUUUACUUGAUGGAGGGGAGAUGCUCCCCUGCUGCCCCUUGGCUACACCCAUGGAGGCUCAGGUGUUUCUCAGAGCAUUUCCCAGAAGCUACUUUGGGCGCCCUGUCAGCAGAUUGGCCAGGGCAGGGAGGGCGGAACAUGGGUGGUAUUGCCCACCAAUGAGUGGGAGGGAGGGCAGGCAAAGAUUUUAAGUCCAUGCGCCACACCCAAGCCAGGCCUGAGCAAAGAGCCCCAUGGUCUGCCUGCCAGCCCUCAGGACCCCAGCUCUUCUGUGCCACCAGGCCUUGCACUGCUAGGAUGGCUGCGAGGCUGAGGCCCCAAGAGCCCCUGGCCUGGGGAAGGAGAGGGAAGGUGCCCUUCAUGCAACUGCUGGUCCCUAUGGCUCCUGCACUGGGGCCUAACAGCCCCGCUGGGCUUUGCCACCUGCUGUUUCUCUUCCAGGCUCAGAGAAGGAAAGAGCCGUCUUCAAAAAGGCCAGUGAGAAGCUGAACCUGAACACGUUCAAUGCCAUAUCUGCCAAGGGUCCGGAAGCUGUGAACCCAAACCUCUCAGGGACUCUGAAGUCCAAGAGCCCUGAGCCAAAGGUUGGUCAGGAUGUUGACUUGGUCUUCACCCUGAAGAACCUUGCCUCCAAGGCCAGGAGCCUGACGGCCAAGAUGACCGCCUGGUCCAUCGUCUACAAUGGGAAGCCCAUCCAUGAAGUCUGGAAGGACUCUCUCGCAGUGACUCUGGGCCCGCAAGAAGGUAAGCCUUUUGUGGGCUCCCCACAGCAAGGGGGCAGCCUCCAAUGCCCCCUCUUCCUCCUCCUUUGCCCACAAGCCACAGUCGGGCCUUCUGGAGAAGCCCCACUCGGGUGGGGGUGGUGGCAGAGGCACCUCUCAUAGGUCUCCCUCUUGGCUUGCUGGGGUGGGGGAUGGCGAGUUCCAGCGACCUCCUCAGAUCUUGGGGUGCAAGGAACUUCCACUGCUGGUGUGUGCUGACCUCUGUGCUUGGCCUGCCCCUUUUUCCACUUGCUCUACCCCAAGAGAUGGGGGGCUCCUCUUUUUGCACCCAUGGGCAAUGUUGGGGGGCAAGGGCCACGGAAGAGGGGGAUCAUUGCUCCCCAUAUCUGCCCCCAGCUAGCCAAGUUCCUGCCUUGGCAGCCCCUGACUGUUCUCCACCAAGGGCUAUGGGACUCACCUUCCCCUGAAGAAAGGGCAACGUUUUGGGGUUCUUCCUGGCAUCCGAGGGGAUUUUGAGCACCGCAAGAGCUUCCUCUGCACCGGCCGCUGAGCCACAAGGUGUUGCAACUAUGAUGCAGUGCAUGUGCAUGAGGCCGGGUGCCAAAUUAGGUCUCCCAUGGGUGCUGCUGAACUAUGGAAGACCAAAGUCUGCCCCUGCCGGCUUGCGUGACCCACAUCUCAUGGAAGGCCCUUUGGUUACUUGUCACUUUCAGAGAAAAAGUUUCCUCUCAAGAUCUCAUACGCUGAGUACCAGCAACACCUGACGCCAGACAACAUGAUUCGAGCCACAGCCUUGUGCCAACUCUCAGAGGGAACCGAAGCCGUGGUGGAAGGAGACAUCACGCUGAGCAACCCCUCCGUCACCUUGAAAGUAAGCCUUCCUCAGCUGCCUCUGUGCCCAGGAGAGGCUCCUGAGUGCCUCCCUGCCUUGAUGCCCACAGAACUGCCUCUCAAGUUUCUCUCUCUGCUUGCUGGGCAGUGCAUGGCCCUCCCAGGCAUGCCUUUGGAGGCCUGUGCCCUCCUGGCUUUGCCCCCUGGGAGGCCUGGGGAGUGGCCCUCCUACUCAAUGGGGGCUUUUCUCUGGGCAGGUGCUGGGACAGGCGAAAGUGGACCAGCCGCUGAAGGUGGAGGUGGUCUUCACCAACCCUCUCAAUGAAGAAGUGAAGGACUGUGUGCUGCAGGCAGAGGGCAGUGACUUGCUGGCAGAGAAGCUCAAGCUGGAGUAAGUGCCUGGGACAUCCAGACAGGGGGGGUGCCGUGUCCCCUCCCCAGGACUGGGGGUGGCUGCUGGGGUGCUCCCUUGUGGUGCUCCCACCUCCCAGUUCCUCAGCUGCACUUCCAGAGCAGGCAAAGUCGGGGCUCCAGUCUCCCGGGGGGGGGGGGUCUGGAAAGGGGUGCCCAGAAGGGACUCCUGUGUCUUCCUGGCCAUGUGGGGCUUCCUUUGCUCACUACCCAAAAGAGUCACAGCCCACUUUUCUAUCACCUUCCAAGGCAACUUUUCUAUGUGUACCAGGAAUUGUCAGUGACAGAGGCUGGGGCCCCUUUUGCUUCAGAGGUGUCUUUUAAUAGUUGAGAAAUUGCUUCAGGGAAUCGUGAGUGAGUGUGUGUGUGUGUGUGAGAGAGAGUGAGAGAGAGAGAGAGAGAGAGAGAGAGAGACAGAGAGAGAGAUUGAGAGCUGUGCACAGGCAGCCUCUGCUGCAGACAUGAGUUUCAGCCACCCUUUAGAAAUGUUUGCCCCCAACACCCCACUGCUCAAACUGCUCAUUUGUAACCCCCCCGGCUUGCCAACCACCCCAGGCAGUGCUUAGCACUGGUGCUGUCACUCACCCCACCUGGUGGCAGCUGUGUGGGGCUGGGGCUGGGUGUCCCCACUGCCUUUCAACACUCCAGCCAGGAACUGGCAAAGGCAGAGCUGGGCUGCUGUUUCUUUGGCACAUCCAAAGUCAGGAGGAGGCUGGGCAGCCAAUGGGGACAAACUACUCUGAGGAAGAAAAGUGAUCUUAGAAGAAAGACUUCAAGGAGGACCCUUCUAGAGAGGAAUUGGGACACUGGGUCCCUGCUUCCUAAUGAGCAAGCUUUGAUGGGAUGUGGAAGUAUUUUGUGGGGAGAGGGACCCGUGCUCCAAACUGAAGGUCCCACAAGCCACUUGUGUGCUCAGCUGGGACCAGGCUGGCUCCUCACCUGGCUGGCGUGGAUGUGGGAGCUCAUGGCUACCUUCAGCCUGAGCUGCUUAACUGGGGAACAUUUAGUUUGACCCUCAAAUCAGAAGAAGGAUAAAUUCCCAGGCAUACGCCCCCCCAAAUACCCUUCCUGCCAUCUGCUGCCACUGCCACAAGGUGAUGGGGCGAGGGAGGGGCCGUCCAGAGCUGCUCUUCCUAGGGUGGUCUGAGAGGGAGGUGAGGGGUAAUGGGAGACUGCUCAGCACCCACUGCCCGCCCCCCGAGUGGGUCCAUCAUGCUCAGCCAUCCAUCGUUUCUCCAGGCUCAGAGUCCCCCCACUGGCUGCACCUCAGGCUGUACCUUCUGGUCCACCUGAAUGAUCAUGGCAUGUCCAACCUGGACCCCGUUAGUCCCAACCCCCCUGCUCUGGUCCCUUUGGCAGCUGCCCUCCCAGCCGUGGGUCCUUCUGCAGGGGAAGCACCUGCUUCUGCCACUGUCCCCCCCCCAACUCAGAGUUAUUGUGCUUGAUCUAAUUAGCAGUGAAAAGCAAAUGAAGCAGCAGCCUGGCCUGCGCAUGGGAACCCAGCAGCGAGAGGGAGACCCCGCCUGGUGGGCAGGGCCUGGGAGAGCCUCUGGCUUGGGGGCUGCUGCUGCAGGAGCUAGCCCUGGAGUCCUGAAGGGCAGAGGAGGGCCAGGCAGCCCCCAUGCCAGGCCCACAGCUCCUCCUGAGCAUCAGCUGACUGGCUCCUUUUGCUCCUUGUUUGCAGCGCGCCACCCCUGCAGGCCAAGCAGAGCACCCGCCUCGAGUUCGAGGUCAAGCCCAGCAAGAGUGGGACGAAGCAGCUGCUGGUUAAUUUCUCCUGUGACAAAUUUCAAGACAUCAAAGCCUUUGAGCCCAUUAAUGUCUCUGCCUGAGCAUGACUAGCCAUGGAGCAGCCUGCCAGGAGGAUGGAGCCAAGCAGUGGAAUGGGGAGCCUGAGCACAGCGGGGCCUCAGCCCCAUUGUUUUCAUGUGCAUUUUAAUACAAGUUUUCUUCUUAUA
Molecule: non-coding RNA, 6059 nt
Organism: Podarcis lilfordi (Lilford's wall lizard)
Lineage: Eukaryota; Metazoa; Chordata; Lepidosauria; Squamata; Lacertidae
Source: the annotation of a GenBank genome assembly